GGCACAAGCUCACUGCAACUGGACAGGUGAAGAUUGGGGAAAAUGGUGGUUGAGACCACUGGGUGAGUGGAGUGGAGCUUACACUGUGACAGAGAAAGCAGCUGGACUACAGUAAACGUUUACAGGCCAGGUGGAGUUACACACUCGUCUGGGCUUGGCCUUUGGUCUUGUCUCUGUGUGUGUUUGAAGGAGAAGUGUGUGUGUGUGUGUGUGUGUGUGUGUGUGUGUGUGUGUGUGUGUGUGAGAACCGUGGAACAAAAACACUAACAAUGCAUUCAUUUAAUAACGACCAAAAAGUGGUUACCCGGUAGCAUUAUGCAGAUGCACUCAUGCUACAGUGGCUGAACUGUGAAAAAUAUUCAGCAGGAAGGUUAGUUCAUGUAACAGAGGGGUUGGGAUAUGCCUAUAUUUAAAUACUGAAUUCAAAUUUAUUUGCUCAGAGAAAAAAAAAAAAGUCUUAACUGGUUAAUUCAGCUAGAUAGAUUUUCUCCAAAUGUCCUAAAACCUAUUUCACGAUAAAAAAGGAAAGCUAAAUAGAUUCCAUAGUUGGGGUGCCAUUUGUGUCCGACUGAAAUGACAUGCACACAUACUGUAUGUGUCUAUAGUAAAGAUAAAAUGCAUUAAAAAUAUGUAAAGUGUUCUUCAUAACAACUUAUACGCAUGUGUCAGAUAAACAGCCUUAAGCAUUAUUAAAAUCUUUUUACACUAUGUAGUAAUAAGCAUUUUGCCUCUCCCAGCUCACUAUAACUGCACUUUACCUUCAAAUAUAAUCCUCUCAGAACAGAACACUUUACCAUAAAAUAUAAUAAUCUCCAACUGAUAAUCAAGAUACUCAGAACAGUCAUUUCCAUGAGCAUUGUCAAGUUAUGAAGAAUGUACAUUUCAGUUCACAUUCACUGAACCAUCUUACCUGAACACAUUCACCCAUGUGUAAUGUUUGGUGUAUUGUAGUCACAUGUUGAACAGGAAGAUACAUCAUCCAAAUUUCCCAAAGAUCACAGUGACUUCGUUUACAUACACAUCGAUAUUUAAUUGGAAUUUGGCAAUAUUCUAAUUAGCACAGAGUCAUGUAGACACCUUAUUCAGAAAUUCCACUGAAAGGAGAUAUGUGCAUGCUCAGAUUGCAAGGAAUUGUGGGUGCUAACAGAUGCUUAGCUGUUGGCUAGGUAUUUAGGAAUGGCAACUCAGGCAUACUUACAACAACCAUUAUCCCAAUAUCGCAAUGCAUGUACACAUAUAAACAUCAUAUUCGGAAUAUGGCUGCAACAUUAAAUACAGACCUUAAAUGUAACCUGAUGUGCAUGUAAACAUAGUCAGUGAUACAGUUCUAUUGACUGAUAAGUAGGAAAUCAUUUCCUUAAUGUUCUCAUGCCAUUAAUGCCAGUUAACCAUAUUUUGGGUAAAUUGCUAAUUUUACGCCAAAAAAAAAAACAAACAAAAAAAAAACAUCCCUCAACACUGUUACUUUCAAGCCUGGUGCUUGUUCAAAAGCAAAAUACAGCCAUUUUUGUUUAUUUAUUUAUUUAUAUAUUUUUAGCAAAGAAACCUUAGAUUAAAAAUUAGAUAUGAGAUAUUGC
Long non-coding RNA from Ictalurus punctatus (channel catfish), 1577 nucleotides. Lineage: Eukaryota; Metazoa; Chordata; Actinopteri; Siluriformes; Ictaluridae. The record is from Ensembl.